RNAcentral lists this ribosomal RNA (420 nucleotides) under uncultured archaeon. RNAcentral describes it as "partial 16S ribosomal RNA". It matches the Rfam family "Archaeal small subunit ribosomal RNA", at positions 323 to 746 of the family's 1478-position model. The record is from RNAcentral.
CUACGGGGCGCAGCAGUCGAGGAAAUUUUACAAUGCUCGCAGGAGUGAUAAAAUAAACCAAAGUGUUUCUCCUAGAGAAACUUUUAUUUGCUGUAAAAAGGCAGAUGAAUAAGGACUGGGCAAGACCGGUGCCAGCCGCCGCGGUAAUACCGGCGGUCCAAGUCGCAUCCACAUUUAUUGAGUCUAAAACAUUCGUAGCUUGUUUUGUAAGUCUCUUGUGAAAUCUUAUAUCUUAAGUGUAAGGCGUGCAAGAGGUACUGCAUUACUAGAGACCGGAAGACGCAAAAAGUAUGGUUGAGGUAGCGGUAAAAUGUGUUAAUCUCAAUUAGACUAACAAUGGCGAAGGCAUUUUGCGAGUACGGAUCUGACAGUGAGGAAUGAAGGCUAGGGGCGCAAAAGGGAUUAGAUACCCGGGUAGUC